GGGGGGGGGGGGGGGGGGGGGGGGGGCGGGCGGGGGGGGCGGCGGCGCGGGGUGCGGCCUGGCGGCGGGGGGCGGGCGGGUGGGUCAUGCGUCGGGGCGUGCCGAGGGGUGGGGGAGAGCGCGGCGAGAGCCGGAUUAAUACCGCCUACUAGCUGCGGGUGAACGGGGGGGACCGAACGGCCUCACGCGGUUGGGCGUGGCGAUGGAGGGUGAGCUAGUUGGUGGGGUAAAGGCUUACCAAGGCUACGAUCCGUCGCUGGUCUGAGAGGACGACCAGCCACACUGGGACUGAGACACGGCCCAGACUCCUACGGGAGGCAGCAGUGGGGAAUUUUGGACAAUGGGGGCAACCCUGAUCCAGCCAUGCCGCGUGCGGGAAGAAGGCCUUCGGGUUGUAAACCGCUUUUGUUCGGGAAGAAAUCCUCUGGGCUAAUACCCCGGGGGGAUGACGGUACCGGAAGAAUAAGCACCGGCUAACUACGUG
Molecule: ribosomal RNA, 484 nt
Filed under: uncultured bacterium
Lineage: Bacteria
Description: partial 16S ribosomal RNA
Rfam family: Bacterial small subunit ribosomal RNA
Source: RNAcentral